UACCUUUUAAUUGAUGCAUUGACUAUGUUGUGUCUUCUUUUCUUUGGUAGAACUGGAAGUAUCUUUCGAAAGUCCUCUGCUAGAACCACUGUCAUUCCAGCGAACGAUUUGUCCCUGCUGUUAUCAUUUUUAUGCCUUAAUAUAUCCCUUAGAGUUAUGUCUAGUGCCUCGAAACAUAUCAUGUUUGCCAUUGGAGCCUCAUCCCAUAGUAUUGGGGAUGUCGUUUGUAACAGUUCUACCAAGUGUGUGCCUUGUCUGAUGUCACAUGUUGAUUCUUCCGUAAGGAUCAGUGGGAUGUGGAACCUUGAGUGAGCUGUUCUACCUCCCUGUAGAAGAAGUGCUGCAAUACCACAUGAUGCCACCGCUAGUACCAUCUUGCCUUUAGAACGCAAUUAAGUUGUGAUUGCCUUCCAUAGAUAGGUCUUACUUGUAUCACCAUAUCCAUCAACAAAUACCUGUUUUCUCAAAUAUUUGUCAAUUGAUUCCAUUAUCGAAUAAAAUGCAUUUAGCUGUUCAGAGUUAAGAUUACCAAAGAUCCCCAAGUGCUCUUCUUUCUGCUCCUCUUUGUUGUAGCUCAAUCUUCAUUAAGCAGCAUGUUUUCAAGUUCCUUUAUCUCUAAAGAAUUUGCAAGUUCUAAUCCUGAUCAGUAAGUGUCUUUUGAGCUUGUCUCAUUAGCUUCUCUAUUUCCACCAAGGCGUGUCCUUGCUUCUGUGAAGCUGUCGGGCAAAGUGUAGUAGUUUAGGAGUUUUCUCCGUACCUCUCCCUCAAAUUUGGAUAUAUGCUUUCUACAAUUACCUUUUUUGGAUCAUUAACUUUUUUAGUAAUAUUUCACUUGGUAUUUUUAUCAAUUUUCCACCUUCUGCUGAUGUAGUUUUUCCAUUGCCAACAUUGGGGAUCCACUCUGCAAAUUCUGCUACCUUUUGUUUCUCUGUCAUGCCAUUGAGUCGCAUGUCCUUUGUUAGCUUCAGCAUAUGGAAGUGUUUCCAAAGAUACGACCUUUUAAUUAAUGCAAUGACUAUGUUGUGUCUUCUUCCCUUUGUUAGAAGUGGAAGUAUCUGGCGAAAGUCCUCUCCUAGAACCACUGGCAUUCCAUCGAAUGGUUUCUCGCAGAUGUUAUCAUUUUUAUGCCUUAAUAUAUCCCUUAGAGUUCUGUAGAAUGCCUCAAAACAUAUCUUGUUGCCAUUGGAGCCUCAUCCCAUAGUAUUAGGGAUGUCUUUUGUAAGAGAUCUGCCAAGUGUGUGUAUUGUCUGAUGUCACAUGUUGAUUCUUCCAUAAGGAUUAGUGGGAUUUGGAACCUUGAGUGAGGUUUUCUACCUCCCUGUAGAAGAAGCGCUGCAAUAGCACAUGAUGCCACCGCUAGUACUAUCUUGCCUACAGAAUGCAAUUUUGUUGUAAUUGCCUUCCAUUGAUAGGUCUAACCUGUUCCACCAUAUCCAUCAACAAAUACCUGUUUUCCCAAAUAUUUGUCAACUGAUUUCAUUAUUGAAUAAAAUGCAUUUAACUGUUCAGAGUUAUGAUUACCGAAGAUCCUCAAGUGCUCUUCUUUCUGUUCCUCUUGGUUGUAGCUCAUCUCUUCAUUAAGUAGCCUGUUUCCAAGUUCUAUUAUCUCUGAAGAAUUUGUAAGUUCUAUUCCUGGGUAUUCAUUAAGUGUCUUUCCAGCUUGUUUCAUGAGCUUCUGUAUUUCCACCAAGGCGUGUCCUUGCUUCUGUGAAGCUGUCAGGCAAAGUGUAGGAUAUAACUUCCCAGCAUAAUAAUCUGCCGCUCAUGUACCUACAUAAGUAUUUCUACCAACAAACCGUGAAACGGAGCUGGAGCAUACCCUAUUAGCUAUAUCAAGGCUGUAGCAACUUGAUACCAAUUAAGAUUUGCGAUUACAGGAAGGACAAAAGAUAAGUAUUGGAAUUGAACCUGCCAAUAUGAGGAACUGCUUCACUGCGAGGCAGUAUUGUAUCCCUGAGAGAUCCAAAGUCCAUACUCCAGAGUGCUCACGUCACCAAUAAAACCAUGGUAUGUUAUCCUCAUGCUUGUACCUUGGUUGUAGAGUACAAACCUACAAAAUAAGAGAAUAAUACUUCUGAAUAUAUAUCGCUAGAGACGUCUCUAGAGCCAACAGGAAAAUAGAAAUCAUACUGAACUACAGAAGGCAAACAAAUCCCUAUCAAAAUAGUUCCUAGCUACUGAUAUACUACUUUUUACCUCCAUAUGCAGAAUGAAUCAACUGUUUGCUACUUUGGUAGAGACUAAGAAUGAAUCAACUGUUUGCUACUUUGGAAGAGACGAAAACUGUGUCAUAGAACUUACAGAGACAUAAAUUUAAACUGUGGUCAAGGUUAUCGGUGCUAGGGCCCCAGGAAUCUCUUUGAAAGAGGGAUACCAUUGCAGAAUACAUGGGGCAAGUUCGCUCGGCCGCUGGAGUCAUGGAGAUCGCAGAUGUUGUUGGGGCCAUCGGGUGCCUACUUAUACCGUGAGGCAGCUCCUGAUCUUCGCCUACGCUGGCCUGCCACAACCACACUUGCUGCCUAGAACUUAGGGUUGUGUAGACGCACGUACAAGUUUAACUCAGCUUCAAGUCCAUACACUUAUACUCCAUGUCAUCACAGUUGGCCGGCCGUCUCAGAGCACCAAGGCGAACUCAAGGAUAACAACAACCGCGUGCGCUUGGACCUGCACCUGCACCUCCAAGAAAGACGGUAUGCUUCUUUUCUUCCCUGAGAACCCAAAGAUCAGGUUCAGAGAUCUCAUCUAGAUCUGUAUGGCAUCGAGGACUGAGACUGGGAAGCAUGCGUCAUUGAUGAUGUUGAAGUUCGGUUCCUGAGACCAUGGCAUGAAUCUGGCACGUCUCCACGGAGCAUAUCGUAUCUAGCUCUUGGAGGACUAUAUGUCUAGUAGUGUUCUGUUGACUCCCUUACCUCAAUGAGGCAAAUCGAGAUUGAAAUAUUAGCCACUCGUGUGGUGCACUUGGAGGAGGUUGGCCCGGCCGGCCGGCGGAGCACGCGAUGGCACAUACGGCGGCGUGCGUGAGGGCUUGCGGGGAGUUCGUGUCUUUUAGGUUUUGAUUUUGCUUCGUAACUUAUGUUAGCUACACAUUACAUCAAAGGGGUAUGAUGAAAAUUUAAUGUAGGGCAUUGGUGGGUAAUUUUAUUGAAUUCUAAUCAAACGGUAAUGAUUGCCUGAUUAGCUUAAU
Lolium perenne is the source of this 3184-nucleotide long non-coding RNA. RefSeq lists it as uncharacterized. The record is from RefSeq and is a predicted model, not a curated record. NCBI's taxonomy places the organism in Eukaryota, Viridiplantae, Streptophyta, Magnoliopsida, Poales, Poaceae.